AUUGAACGCUGGCGGCAGGCCUAACACAUGCAAGUCGAGCGGAUGAAGGGAGCUUGCUCCUGGAUUCAGCGGCGGACGGGUGAGUAAUGCCUAGGAAUCUGCCUGGUAGUGGGGGAUAACGUCCGGAAACGGGCGCUAAUACCGCAUACGUCCUGAGGGAGAAAGUGGGGGAUCUUCGGACCUCACGCUAUCAGAUGAGCCUAGGUCGGAUUAGCUAGUUGGUGGGGUAAAGGCCUACCAAGGCGACGAUCCGUAACUGGUCUGAGAGGAUGAUCAGUCACACUGGAACUGAGACACGGUCCAGACUCCUACGGGAGGCAGCAGUGGGGAAUAUUGGACAAUGGGCGAAAGCCUGAUCCAGCCAUGCGGCGGGUGUGAAGAAGGUCUUCGGAUUGUAAAGCACUUUAAGUUGGGAGGAAGGGCAGUAAGUUAAUACCUUGCUGUUUUGACGUUACCAACAGAAUAAGCACCGGCUAACUUCGUG
This 484-nucleotide ribosomal RNA is filed under the name uncultured bacterium. RNAcentral describes it as "partial 16S ribosomal RNA". It matches the Rfam family "Bacterial small subunit ribosomal RNA", at positions 30 to 507 of the family's 1533-position model. The record is from RNAcentral.